RNAcentral lists this ribosomal RNA (743 nucleotides) under uncultured bacterium. RNAcentral describes it as "bacterial SSU rRNA". It matches the Rfam family "Bacterial small subunit ribosomal RNA", at positions 94 to 823 of the family's 1533-position model. The record is from RNAcentral.
AGCGGCGGAUGGGUGAGUAACACGUGGGGAACCUGCCCCUAAGUCUGGGAUACCAUUUGGAAACAGGUGCUAAUACCGGAUAAUAAAGCAGAUCGCAUGAUCAGCUUUUGAAAGGCGGCGUAAGCUGUCGCUAAGGGAUGGCCCCGCGGUGCAUUAGCUAGUUGGUAAGGUAACGGCUUACCAAGGCGACGGUGCAUAGCCGAGUUGAGAGACUGAUCGGCCACAUUGGGACUGAGACACGGCCCAAACUCCUACGGGAGGCAGCAGUAGGGAAUCUUCCACAAUGGACGCAAGUCUGAUGGAGCAACGCCGCGUGAGUGAAGAAGGUUUUCGGAUCGUAAAGCUCUGUUGUUGGUGAAGAAGGAUAGAGGUAGUAACUGGCCUUUAUUUGACGGUAAUCAGCCAGAAAGUCACGGCUAACUACGUGCCAGCAGCCGCGGUAAUACGUAGGUGGCAAGCGUUGUCCGGAUUUAUUGGGCGUAAAGCGAGCGCAGGCGGAAAAAUAAGUCUAAUGUGAAAGCCCUCGGCUUAACCGAGGAACUGCAUCGGAAACUGUUUUUCUUGAGUGCAGAAGAGGAGAGUGGAACUCCAUGUGUAGCGGUGGAAUGCGUAGAUAUAUGGAAGAACACCAGUGGCGAAGGCGGCUCUCUGGUCUGCAACUGACGCUGAGGCUCGAAAGCAUGGGUAGCGAACAGGAUUAGAUACCCUGGUAGUCCAUGCCGUAAACGAUGAGUGCUAAGUGU